This 543-nucleotide ribosomal RNA is filed under the name uncultured bacterium. RNAcentral's name for it is "bacterial SSU rRNA". It matches the Rfam family "Bacterial small subunit ribosomal RNA", at positions 139 to 677 of the family's 1533-position model. The record is from RNAcentral.
UUGGAUAACCUUUGGAAACGAUGGCUAAUACCGCAUGAUGCCUACGGGCCAAAGAGGGGGACCUUCGGGCCUCUCGCGUCAGGAUAUGCCUAGGUGGGAUUAGCUAGUUGGUGAGGUAAGGGCUCACCAAGGCGACGAUCCCUAGCUGGUCUGAGAGGAUGAUCAGCCACACUGGAACUGAGACACGGUCCAGACUCCUACGGGAGGCAGCAGUGGGGAAUAUUGCACAAUGGGCGCAAGCCUGAUGCAGCCAUGCCGCGUGUAUGAAGAAGGCCUUCGGGUUGUAAAGUACUUUCAGUCGUGAGGAAGGCGGUGUCGUUAAUAGCGGCGUUGUUUGACGUUAGCGACAGAAGAAGCACCGGCUAACUCCGUGCCAGCAGCCGCGGUAAUACGGAGGGUGCGAGCGUUAAUCGGAAUUACUGGGCGUAAAGCGCAUGCAGGUGGUUUGUUAAGUCAGAUGUGAAAGCCCGGGGCUCAACCUCGGAAUAGCAUUUGAAACUGGCAGACUAGAGUAUUGUAGAGGGUGGUAGAAUUUCAGGUGUA